GUGGUCACAGACCAGUGUUUGGCUUGCAUUUGGGGCAGCUGGAAUUUCUGGGGGCCCCAGGAGCAACUCAGUCAGUGAGGGAUGGGAGUUGGUGACAGAUACCUCAGUUCUAGUCCCAGGUAUCAUCAUAUCUCAGGAGGGUCCCUAGUGGGAUUGAGCCCAGUUGCCCAAGGUGGUUGCCUGCACCCCCUUUUUGCUUCCUUUCCUUGGCUGUCGCAUUUCCUCACGCCCUCCUAAGCCCUCCUAAGCCCUCCUGGGAUCACAUUACAAAUAAAUGGCUUGCACCUGAAUCUGUAUUAUCAUCUGUUCCCAGCGCAGUCCAGCCGAAAGUGACCCUUGGGAUUCUGCUUCCAUGGACUACCUGGCUGGCAGCUUCUGGUCAGUGGUACUGCUCAACACCUGCUGUGCCUUGCUUGACUGUGGCCUCCUCGUCCAUCGUAUGGAAUUUACUGCAGCCUCCUGCCUCCACACUGUGCACCCUUGACCUACCUUCCAUGUGUAUUCUGAGACACAAAUGUGCAGGUACUUCAAAAAUUUCAUAGGAAAAUGGAAUUAGAUUGUAACUUUCUUUUGGCACAAAACAUUUGAAAUCUGUGUGUCAUUUUGUAGUAAUACAGAUUUUCCAUGAAUAUUUUGAAGAUCUGACCUGUGUUCUCUUUUCAGCUCAGAGCCACUCCAUGGCUGUGGUUCCAGGGAGCUCACAGUAUAGUGGGUGGGGACAUUCAUUCAUCCUUCAGAGAAUGUAUUUCUUAAGCAGCUCCUUAUGAUAGGACCUGAUCUAGGCCAUAGGGGUGUAGCUGUGAACAAAGAUUCAAGAAUUCCUGCUGGGGUCUGGUGCUGGGGUAGGAGAAGGCCGAAACUAAGCAAGAUAAAUGAUAUUUAAUGUAUUGGGGAUAUAUACAAAGAAGAAAAUAUAGCAGGGGAGGGGGCAAAAGAAUUCCAGAGUUGGGGUGGAUGGGGGCUUUUCAAGUGGGAUGGCCAGAGAAGGCCUGUUUCUGCAGUGAUGUUGGAAUAAAGAGUGAAAGGAAGUGGGGAAAAUCA
Molecule: long non-coding RNA, 1041 nt
Filed under: Oryctolagus cuniculus (rabbit)
Lineage: Eukaryota; Metazoa; Chordata; Mammalia; Lagomorpha; Leporidae
Description: lncRNA (ENSOCUG00000031014.1)
Source: RNAcentral